AUUGAACGCUGGCGGCAGGCCUAACACAUGCAAGUCGAACGGUAACAGGGAACAGCUUGCUGUUUCGCUGACGAGUGGCGGACGGGUGAGUAAUGUCUGGGAAACUGCCUGAUGGAGGGGGAUAACUACUGGAAACGGUAGCUAAUACCGCAUAACGUCGCAAGACCAAAGAGGGGGACCCUCGGGCCUCUUGCCAUCGGAUGUGCCCAGAUGGGAUUAGCUUGUUGGUGGGGUAACGGCUCACCAAGGCGACGAUCCCUAGCUGGUCUGAGAGGAUGACCAGCCACACUGGAACUGAGACACGGUCCAGACUCCUACGGGAGGCAGCAGUGGGGAAUAUUGCACAAUGGGCGCAAGCCUGAUGCAGCCAUGCCGCGUGGAUGAAGAAGGCCUUCGGGUUGUAAAGUACUUUCAGCGGGGAGGAAGGGAGUAAAGUUAAUACCUUUGCUCAUUGACGUUACCCGCAGAAGAAGCACCGGCUAACUCCGU
RNAcentral lists this ribosomal RNA (489 nucleotides) under uncultured bacterium. Its description in RNAcentral is "partial 16S ribosomal RNA". It matches the Rfam family "Bacterial small subunit ribosomal RNA", at positions 30 to 506 of the family's 1533-position model. The record is from RNAcentral.